Molecule: long non-coding RNA, 1182 nt
Filed under: Homo sapiens (human)
Lineage: Eukaryota; Metazoa; Chordata; Mammalia; Primates; Hominidae
Description: long non-coding RNA NONHSAT173119.1
Source: RNAcentral
GUUUUAUAAGGGGCUUUCCCCCUUUUGCUUGGCACUUCUCUUUCCUGCUGCCAUGUGAAGAAGGAUGUAUUUGCUUCUCCUUCUGCCAUGAUCGUAAGUUUCCUGAGGCCUCCCCAGCCAUGUUGAACUGUGACUAGGAUUUAGAACCUGGACCUGGACGCCUCACUGCUUCCUGCUUCCUUAGUGCCUUGUGGCCUGGAGUCAGAAUAAUCUAGCUCAAACUUGGGAGUCAAAUGCUCCAGGGUCUUGAACUGGUCAGAGCUCUCAAUGCCGCAAAGACACUUUCAGAAGAGGAACGAAGGCCUGGAAGGAAAAGCAUCAGGGGAACGACGCUUACGUCUCUCCUCCUCCCUCCGGUCUCCCACCAGUGCUCCCAUUGGCUGAAGCCAACCAGAAGCCACAGGAAGCCCACUGUCUGUUCAGAUUUCUGACCCUUGGAAAACUGCAGAGCUCAAUGAUUAAAUGAAUGGACUUUGGAGCCAGGUGACCCUGGAUUCCAAUCCUGUCUCCACCACUCCAGGCUCUGAGACCUGGGCCAGUCACUCUGCCCUUCUGGCUUUAGCGUCUCCAUUUGUAAAACAGCACAGAGUGCCAGGCAGGUCAGACUGAAUGACAGACAGAAGGGACUUAGCGUCUUCUAUGCACUGGAUUAUGUUCCCCUAAAAUUCAUAUACGGAAGCCCUAACCCCCAGUGUGAUGGGAUUUGGAGAUGGGGCCUUUGGAAGGUGCUUAUAGCUAGGUGAGGGUAUGAGGGUGGGGCCCUCAUGAUGGGAUUAGCGCCCUUAUAAGAAGAGACACCAAAGAGCUUGCACACAUGUGCUCUCUCUCUCUCUCUCUCUCUCUCUCUCACACACACACACACACACUCUCUCUCUCUCUCCCAUGCACAAAGAAGAGGUCAUGUUGGCCAGGUGCAGUGGCUCAUGCCUGUAAUCCCAGCACUUUAGGAGGCUGAGGCAGGAGGAUCGCUUGUGCCCAGGAGUUCAAGACCAGCCUGGGCAACAUAAUGAGACCUUGUCUCUACAAGAAUUGUUUACAAAAUUAGCUGGGCAUCGUGGUGCAUACCUGUAGUCCCAGCCAUUUGGGAAGCUGGGGUGGGAGGCUCACUUGAGCUCAGGAGGUCAAGGCUGCAGCAAGCUGUGACCAUGCCAUUGCACUCCAGCCUGGGUGACAGAGGAAGAC